Brassica napus (rape) is the source of this 1379-nucleotide long non-coding RNA. RefSeq lists it as uncharacterized. The record is from RefSeq and is a predicted model, not a curated record. Lineage: Eukaryota; Viridiplantae; Streptophyta; Magnoliopsida; Brassicales; Brassicaceae. The transcript is spliced from 2 exons.
ACAUAGCAAUAUGCAUAUAUGGUAGUUUAGUAACAUGCAGAUUUUGGAUUGUUAAGCUAUCCGAGUUAGAAUGAAUUUCAAUACACUCUAUUAUAUGGUCACACGGAUAUAGUUUUGUUGUUUGAGACCCAUUUGAUUACUCAGAAAGAGGGUCAAUUCGUGGAUUACACUUAUUUUAGAGAUUAGUUUGGUCCUUCUAUAGGUUCGAGAUACCGUAAGUUAAUAAAAAAACAUAUAUACAAUGUUAAAUCCAUAUUUGUCUUCCAAUCUAUAAAAUAUAAAAUCCUGAAUAUUUUUUACAGUUUCACUUUAGUUUUGGAAUAUAUGAAUCAAGUUUGUUAAAAUUUGGCUAAAAUUGGGUCAGCAAUACCACAACCCGGAAGAAAUAAUCAAGAUGACAAAAAAAUAUUUAUGAGAAAGAAAAAAGGAAAAAUAAUAAUAAUUUAUUAGGGUUAUAAAAGGGCCAAAUAAUGUUUUAAAUUCUUAAGGCCCAAAACAAGAAAUAAUCUUUGAAUCGGGCCUAGAAUAGAUUCGUAUAAAGGAUGUCAAAAUGCAUAGGUGGUAGAUAUUUUUCAACAAGCUUCAAUCUCUGACCGUCAAUAAAAGUUGUUAGUUACUACUCCUACGUGGCAUGAUGUCAACCGUCCAAAUGAAUAAAACAGUGCCCGUUAAAACAGAAUGCGGAUUUCAAAUAGUUUUCAAAACUCAGCGUCGUUCUAAAAGGCGCUUCAGUUCCGACUCCCGCCAUAUAGAACCCUAAGCAAAUCCAGUCAUAAUCUCAAAUCCCACGCUCUCACUCUCUCGUUUCAAGCUCAUAAUGCUUUCUGCUCUCAAUGAUCGCUGGAGAUGUUAAGAAACUACAGGAUGCUGGGAUCCACACCUGUAAUGGUCUGAUGAUUCUUGGUUGCUCUUAACUUUUCAUUUGGUAAUUGCAGUCAUACCCGAUCCAGGUGUAAUGUUCAUACCAUAUCCAAAGAAGCCAGCAGGUUGGCAUGUUCUUGCUCAUGCUGUAACCAUCAGGCUCAGUUUCAGGAAAGGCAAAGGAGAGCAACGUGUAUGCAAAGUCUUUGACGCACCAAAUCUGCCUGAAGCCGAAGCAAUAUCCCUUUUUUUAACAAAUCUAUCACAACUUGCUAUUCAUCCAUAAUGCAUAACUUUGUUUUCCUUAACAAAAAGAAAGCAUGUCUUCCAGAUUACUUCCGGAAGCGUUGCAGAUGCCAAAGACUAGAGCCGGCCUAGAGGAGUUAUUUAUGUCUUGUUACUUAUUAUGCCUGUUUUCUUUCUACUAUGAGUAGCCAUAUUUGACCCACAGGACUUUACUUGGGAAGUUAUUUUUCUUACCAAGACUGAUAUUGCCAUGACUUAUUAUUAGCUUCUUA